RNAcentral lists this small RNA (159 nucleotides) under Theobroma cacao (cacao). Its description in RNAcentral is "sRNA Tc10v2_g010300". The record is from RNAcentral. Lineage: Eukaryota; Viridiplantae; Streptophyta; Magnoliopsida; Malvales; Malvaceae.
UUAAAGGGAAAAUAGGUGGAAAUUCAAAAAUCAAGUGAAAAAAAGGUGGUGAGUCAAUUGUUUCGGGUAAGAGACUGCACCCGAGGGCGGAAGAUAGGAGUAUUUCUACUCCUAAUACUAGGGGGUUCCGUGGACCAGCCUAUUAGAGGGGCACGGUAA